GUCUCGCUUCGGCAGCACAUAGACUUAAAUUGGAACGAUAUAGAGAAGAUUAGAAUGGCCCCUGCACAAGGAUGACAAGCAAAUUUGUGAAGCAUUCCAUAUUUAA
Homo sapiens (human) is the source of this 106-nucleotide small nuclear RNA. The record is from Ensembl. Lineage: Eukaryota; Metazoa; Chordata; Mammalia; Primates; Hominidae.